CAGUCGCCGCGGGAAUACAGAGGGUGCGAGCGUUAAUCGGAUUUACUGGGCGUAAAGCGUGCGUAGGCGGCUUCUUAAGUCGGAUGUGAAAUCCCUGAGCUUAACUUAGGAAUUGCAUUCGAUACUUGGAAGCUAGAGUAUGGGAGAGGAUGGUAGAAUUCCAGGUGUAGCGGUGAAAUGCGUAGAGAUCUGGAGGAAUACCGAUGGCGAAGGCAGCCAUCUGGCCUAAUACUGACGCUGAGGUACGAAAGCAUGGGGAGCAAACAGGAUUAGAUACCCCGGUAGUCCCUGUCUCUUAUAC
Molecule: ribosomal RNA, 301 nt
Filed under: uncultured bacterium
Lineage: Bacteria
Description: partial 16S ribosomal RNA
Rfam family: Bacterial small subunit ribosomal RNA
Source: RNAcentral